RNAcentral lists this transfer-messenger RNA (348 nucleotides) under Anaerotruncus rubiinfantis. RNAcentral's name for it is "Standard tmRNA". It matches the Rfam family "transfer-messenger RNA". Rfam says of the family: Bacterial tmRNA, also known as 10Sa RNA or SsrA, is named for its dual tRNA and mRNA-like properties. Its role is to liberate the mRNA from a stalled ribosome. Lineage: Bacteria; Bacillati; Bacillota; Clostridia; Eubacteriales; Oscillospiraceae. RNAcentral also lists the same sequence under 1 other name. The record is from RNAcentral.
GGGGUCGUAAAGGUUUCGACGGGGAUUCUGAAGUAUGAGUAGCGAGUAGAGGAGCAUGACCUCUAUAAAACAUGACGUUUUUAAAGUAAACGACAACGAUACUUUAGCUUUUGCGGCUUAAUUAAGCCGUCGUCCUACCGCGGAGUACCACGGCCGCGGAUAGGGCGUCGAUUAGUGGUGAACGAUCUUGCGGAGCGGCCUCGUACGCAUGAUUGUAUCAGGGGAUACCGAGCUGCGUAGCCUGUCGGCUGGCGACGCGGCAAGGGAAUUUUAAAGAACCGACUGCACUCGGAGAAACUUAUAUGGACGGGUUUUCGGACAGGGGUUCGAUUCCCCUCGGCUCCACCA